Molecule: ribosomal RNA, 390 nt
Filed under: Ochromonas tuberculata
Lineage: Eukaryota; Chrysophyceae; Chromulinales; Chromulinaceae
Description: partial small subunit ribosomal RNA
Rfam family: Eukaryotic small subunit ribosomal RNA
Source: RNAcentral
GCUUGUCUCAAAGAUUAAGCCAUGCAUGUCUCAGUAUAAGUUCUUAUAUGGCGAAACUGCGAAUGGCUCAUUACAACAGUUAUAGUUUAUUUGAUGGUUGCUUACUACAUGGAUAACUGUGGUAAUUCUAGAGCUAAUACAUGCAUCAGUACCCGACUUUGUGGAAGGGUUGUGUUUAUUAGAUGGAAACCAAUGCAGGGCAACCUGGAAUAUGGUGAUUCAUAAUAACUCGCGGAUCGGUUUACCGAUGCAUCAUUCAAGUUUCUGCCCUAUCAGCUUUGGAUGGUAGGGUAUUGGCCUACCAUGGCUUUAACGGGUAACGGAGAAUUAGGGUUCGAUUCCGGAGAGGGAGCCUGAGAAAUGGCUACCACAUCCAAGGAAGGCAGCAGG